AUCUUUUUGUGGUUCAUAAGCAUGACGAAUGGGUGUUCAUGCGUUUGUGUGAGGUGUGCCUCCCUCCAGCCUUGUUACGACGUUGGCACAUUAUCCAUCUGACG
RNAcentral lists this small nucleolar RNA (104 nucleotides) under Dasypus novemcinctus (nine-banded armadillo). Its description in RNAcentral is "Small nucleolar RNA U13 (ENSDNOG00000036851.1)". It matches the Rfam family "Small nucleolar RNA U13". The record is from RNAcentral. Lineage: Eukaryota; Metazoa; Chordata; Mammalia; Cingulata; Dasypodidae.